GAGAACAUUGUUAACCCAAUCAACAAUGAAUCUGGACUAAACUUGUCACAGAUAAUGGGACUUGCAGCACCUUCACUGAUACUGUGACCACCACUAACAAUGGACCGGGACCAAACUUAGCACAGAGAAGCUCCAUGACCAACUGAACAUACUGCUGGGGUUAAUGGGAAUGGAUCUUGAUUCUGGGAGUUAUAGUUCACCUACAUCCAGAGAAACUGUGACCCCCACUGACAAUGGACUGGGACCAAACUUGACACAAAGAAGCCCCAUGACCAAGUGAACAGGGGUUAGGGGGAAUGGACUUUGAUUUUGGGAGUUAUAGUUUACCUGCAUCUAGAAAGCACUGAACCCAGCUAACGUCAGAUCUGGACCAAACUUGGCACACAGACCCAACAUGGCCAACUGUGCAUACAUGCCUGGCUUGGGGAUGAUUCACCUUGGAUCUGGGAGUUGUAGUUCACCCUUAUCCAGAGAGCCCUGAACCCUGCCAACGAGGGAUCUGGACAGAACUUGGCACACAGACCCAACUUGGCCAACUGCAAAUACUGGCAGGGUUUGAGGAUGAUUACUCUGGGAAUCUGGGAGUUGUAGUUCACCCUUAUCCAGACAGCACUGAACCCAGCCAACGGCGGAUCUGGACCAAACUUCAGUGAUAUUACCUAACAUCCCAAAACAAACAAUGCCUUCUUGCGUCCCAAAGCUAGUAAGGGAUAAAGUACAUUGACAGUAGCCAUGCUGAGUAAGAGAAAGUGUUUAUAGCAAAUAUUUAUAUGCUUCCAAUGCAACAUGUGGUGGUUAGUCCAUUUUCCUUGCAUUGAUAGGUGGAGUAUGAAUGUGUGUACAAAGAUUAAAUAAAUUAGGCUGCAAACAACUACUCAUUUGGAAAACAGUAAACAAGAGGGAUUUUUUUUGUAAAAGGUGGACCGAGCCAUUUCAUUGUCUCCCCCAGUUUUCUGUUGGCUUACACUGAAAAAUGUGGUGGGCACAUAAUAGUUAGACAUACCAUCUUCCGCGAUACAGUUGUUACUAUUUCUUUUGCCUGCUGUUUGUACUUAAAAAUCUUAAAACUAAGCACUGAGGGCUGUUUGGGAUUUAACAUUUCCUGCCAAGGGGGAGAAAAAGUCAUGUGUACAUCCUAGAGUUAUGCCCUUCUAAUCCUUCCAGUCAAAAGACAUGAAGCCCAAAGGGCAACACAUCAGCGGUGAAUUCACCUCUCACCCUCCGCUCCCCUGGCAAACUGCCACAUGUUUUACUGGUGUCAGGACUUUCCCGUGUUGAUUUAUCUGCGUCAGGGAAUGGCGGAAUGGAAUAGGCCAU
RNAcentral lists this long non-coding RNA (1317 nucleotides) under Anolis carolinensis (green anole). RNAcentral's name for it is "lncRNA (ENSACAG00000045560.1)". Lineage: Eukaryota; Metazoa; Chordata; Lepidosauria; Squamata; Anolidae. The record is from RNAcentral.